UUUGGGGACCCAAGAACAUCAAGAAGGGGAACAGACAUCACGAGAAAUCAAUGGGAAAGGUGUAUAAAAAUCUAGCAUUAUGUCUAUAUAAUACUGGGGCAGUUAACGAUGCUAUGGUAAGGAGUAUUAUGUGGAACAAGAAAUUUAAAAGGUGAGUGAAGUGAAUUACACAUAUAAAGAUAAUGGUUGAAAGCCACACACUGGGGAAGAAAGUAAGAGGAAAGAGGAAAAAGCAGCAUGGUUGAAAAAGAUGUUAUUAAGACUCAAUAGGAAAAGUUGUAAUUUCUCACCUAUAUAUUUCCAACUACAGCACAAACAUCCUCAUACGCCUUCUUGGUGACACAGCAGCCAGUUAAAUAUUUUUGUCUAACCAUUUCUUAUAAUAAUGUGUAGGGGAACAGAACUUUUCUUCCCUACAUAGCAGCCAAAUGUUCUUUCAAAUGUAUUAAACAGAUCAUAAAACUCCUUUAAUCAAAAGUUUCCAAAAAUAUCUCAUCACAUUUAAAGUACAAUCUAACUAAGCCCUAGUCAUGGUCCACAAGUCCCCAGAUGAGCUACGCUCUUCCUGCUUUACACCUUCAUCUCCAUUUAGAAGCCCUAGCUCACUACCUUCAACCAGGCUGGCCUUCCUGCUUUUCCUUAAAAAUGCCAUGCUCAUCAUCUGGAACAAUCUUCCAGGCUAACUGGAGAAGGGGUGGCUCUCUCCUUUUCAAAUUUCAGGCCAAUAGUACCUGCUGAGACAUUCAUUCCCUGACCACUAGUAUCUAAAAUGACCCCAUUCUCCCAUUUCAUCACCUUCUCUCAAGUCAGAAAUUAUUUUGUUUAUUUGGUUAUUUUUGGUGGCACUCCCCAAAUAGAAUGUAAGUGCUGCCAUGAAGGACUGUGUUUGUUUAAUUUCCUGCCAAAUCUUCAGCAUCCAGCACAGUUACUAGCACAUUGCAGGUGUUCAUCUGUGGAAUGGCAAAUGCUCCCACUCCCAUUAAUUGGAUACAUUUCAGAGGAAAAGAAAACCUUAUUGAAGAAUGAUCCAUGUUUUCACAAUGCUGUCCUCCAUUGUAUCUAAAUAUAAUGCUGUGCCACCAUAAUGCCAAAUUAAGCAACACAACAAUAUUGAAUGAAUAUUGAAUGAAUAAUUCAACACAUGUCUUGGGGCCUUGCAAAGGAGCAUAAUCAGGCCAUUUGAAAGAUACAUGACUAAGAAAGGAUGUGCUUAUUUCUCUCUGUCAUGCUGGGAGCAAUUUACAGUAUCCUUAGGAAGCACUGCAGUAAGGUAAAGUAAAUGUAUAUAUGAGUUUCCUUCAGUCGCUCAUGCAUUCAACUAGCAUUUCAUAAGCAUGAAGCUGAGAACUAGUGAUAUAAAAAUAAAAUGUCAAAAUCUCCACUUUCAAAGACUUAAAAUAGAAUGAGAGAAACAAAUAGAAAAAUAAUUUUAUUACCAUAUGAUCAAUAUUACAAUGAAGAUAUGAAAAUACUGAAAGACAGCAGGAAAGGGAAUGAUCAACUGAGUUGGAAAUGGGGAGGGCAUAUUUGAGAAAACUUCAUUGAGGAGGGGACAAAUGAUCAGCAAUGGUCAGAGUUUUGCAUGAGUGUGAAAGGCAAACAAGGAAAAGCAAAACACCAGGGAGGACAGCCCAUAGAAAGCCAUUAAGCCCUGAAAUGGCAUUACCCACUAGAGAAUUAUAAUAAUUUUAUAUGGCGUAAGUAGUUGAACAUGUGUGGGAAGAGACCACAGGCUUACCAAAAUGUAACAAGGAGAGCAUAGACAAGAGAACUAUAGACUAUCUAUUUACAAAUAUAAGGGCAAAAAUACCAUAUAAAACAUAAUUAAACAGAAUUCAACCGUAUAUUAGAAGAAUAAUAUAUCAUAACCAAAUACUGGGUUUUUUUUUUUAGGAAUGCAAGGUUGGUUUGAUCUCAAGAUAUUUACUGAUCUAAUUUUU
Molecule: long non-coding RNA, 1940 nt
Organism: Homo sapiens (human)
Lineage: Eukaryota; Metazoa; Chordata; Mammalia; Primates; Hominidae
Source: Ensembl